AGCAACACAAGUAUUAAAGGUCCCGCCUGCCCAGUGAAAACCUUUCAACGGCCGCGGUAUUCUAACCGUGCAAAGGUAGCGUAAUCACUUGUCUUCUAAAUAAAGACCAGUAUGAACGGCUAAAUGAGGAUAAACCUGUCUCUUAUGAUUAAUCAGUGAAACUGAUUUUCCAGUACAAAAGCUGGAAUAGCUACAUAAGACGAGAAGACCCCGUGGAGCUUUAAACAAACACUAAAUAUUAUCAAUUAGCAUAGUUUUAAGUUGGGGCGACUUCGGAAUAAAGAAAAACUUCCGAGCACAGAACCACCGCUUCUAACCAAGGUUAACAAACCUAAGUACAAAACUGAUCCGGUCACACCGACCAACGAACCAAGUUACCCCGGGGAUAACAGCGCUAUCUUCUUCUAGAGUCCCUAUCAACAAGAAGGUUUACGACCUCGAUGUUGGAUCAGGACACCCAAAUGGUGCAGCCGCUAUUAAAGGUUCGUUUGUUCAACGAUU
Molecule: ribosomal RNA, 501 nt
Filed under: Trachylepis brevicollis (Short-necked skink)
Lineage: Eukaryota; Metazoa; Chordata; Lepidosauria; Squamata; Scincidae
Description: partial 16S ribosomal RNA
Rfam family: Bacterial large subunit ribosomal RNA
Source: RNAcentral